AUUGAACGCUGGCGGCAGGCCUAACACAUGCAAGUCGAACGAGUGGCGGACGGGUGAGUAAUGUCUGGGCACCUGCCUGAUGGAGGGGUAUAACUACUGGAAACUGUAGCUAAUACCGCAUACCAUCAGAUGUGCCCAGAUGGGAUUAGCUAGUUGGUGGGGUAACGGCUCACCAAGGCGACGAUCCCUAGCUGGUCUGCGAGGAGGACCAGCCACACUGGAACUGAGACACGGUCCAGACUCCUACGGGAGGCAGCAGUGGGGAAUAUUGCACAAUGGGCGAAAGCCUGAUGCAGCCAUGCCGCGUGUAUGAAGAAGGCCUUCGGGUUGUAAAGUACUUUCAGCGGGGAGGCGUUACCCGCAGAAGAAGCACCGGCUAACUCCGUGCCAGCAGCCGCGGUAAUUC
Molecule: ribosomal RNA, 406 nt
Filed under: uncultured bacterium
Lineage: Bacteria
Description: partial 16S ribosomal RNA
Rfam family: Bacterial small subunit ribosomal RNA
Source: RNAcentral